GGCAAGCUGUCACUUGUAUUGCUCAAUGGCUUUUAUGUCUUGCUGUUGUUCUCAUGCAAAAGUGAACUCACUCUAUUUGUAAAUGUUAAAAAAAAAAAAGAACGAAAAAACCAUGAAAUUAUGAUUCCAGGUUUUGUUGCUAUUCAUAUUUAUUCUGCAUAGUUCAUGUAUAAAGUUUAAUUGAUAAGUGAGGCAAACAUUACAGGUAGGAGGCAAAGAAAUAGUCAACUUUAUAACACCUUGAGCCUGCAAGAGGAAUAGUCCAUGAUUCUUUUCAUGACGCUGAUGAAUUGUGGUUUGGCCAAGCUUUCCUUUU
This 316-nucleotide long non-coding RNA is filed under the name Actinidia chinensis (golden kiwifruit). RNAcentral's name for it is "long non-coding RNA (ACHI_LNC000710)". Lineage: Eukaryota; Viridiplantae; Streptophyta; Magnoliopsida; Ericales; Actinidiaceae. The record is from RNAcentral.